Molecule: ribosomal RNA, 120 nt
Filed under: Yersinia rohdei
Lineage: Bacteria; Pseudomonadati; Pseudomonadota; Gammaproteobacteria; Enterobacterales; Yersiniaceae
Source: RNAcentral
UGCCUGGCGGCCAUAGCACGGUGGCACCACCUGAACCCAUGCCGAACUCAGAAGUGAAACGCCGUAGCGCCGAUGGUAGUGUGGGGUCUCCCCAUGCGAGAGUAGGACACUGCCAGGCAU